This is an RNA transcript of Chelonia mydas (Green sea turtle), 5208 nucleotides long. It is a transcript of the gene named leucine rich repeats and calponin homology domain containing 1, with no coding region annotated. NCBI's taxonomy places the organism in Eukaryota, Metazoa, Chordata, Testudines, Cheloniidae. The transcript is spliced from 22 exons. The record is from RefSeq and is a predicted model, not a curated record.
CCGCCUGGCAAGCGGAGAAGGAGCCCUCGUCCCGGCCGCUGCUUCCGCGCCGUGCUGCGCCCUGCCGGCCCCCUGCCGCCCCGGCAGCACCGCGGGCCGGUCCCGGUCCCCAGCGGCCCCCGCGCGCCCAGCGAGCCGCGGCCAGGCCGGGAAGAUGGCGACGCUGGGAGGCGAGUCUCCGGCUUUCCCCGCUGGCCUGGCGGCGGCCGGGGCGCUGCACCCCCAGCACCUCGGCGGGGGCGGCGGCUCGCUCGGCUACAACCUGCCGCUGAGCCGCGCGCUGGAGCGGGCGCUGGAGGAGGCGGCGCACUCCGGGGGGCUCAGCCUGAGCGCCAGGAAGCUGAAGGAGUUCCCGCGGGGCGCGCCCGGCCACGACCUCUCCGACACCGUGCGGGCAGAUCUGUCCAAGAAUAGAUUAACUGAUGUUCCUAUGGAGCUGUGCCAUUUUGUGUCACUAGAAACACUAAAUUUAUACCACAAUUGUAUUAAAAUUAUUCCAGAUGCCAUAGUGAAUUUACAAAUGCUGACUUACUUAAAUUUGAGUCGAAAUCAGCUUUCUUCUUUGCCAGCUUGCCUGUGUGGUCUUCCUCUAAAAGUCUUAAUUGCAAGUAACAAUAAGCUAGGUUCCCUUCCAGAAGAGAUAGGUCAGCUAAAACAGUUAAUGGAACUGGAUGUCAGCUGCAAUGAAAUCACAGCUUUGCCACAGCAGAUAGGCCAGUUGAAAUCUCUAAGAGAACUGAAUAUCAGAAGAAAUUACCUCAAGGUUUUACCACAAGAACUAGUAGAGCUUCCCUUGGUAAAGUUUGACUUUUCCUGCAAUAAAGUGCUCGUGAUUCCAGUUUGUUUUAGAAAGAUGGUACAGUUACAAGUAUUACUGCUUGAGAACAAUCCUCUGCAGUCUCCACCAGCACAAAUUUGUAUAAAGGGUAAAGUGCACAUAUUCAAAUAUCUCAGCAUACAGGCGUGCCAGAUUAAAACAGCAGACUCACUUUAUCUUAAUGCCAUAGAACGACCACACUUGCAGCAACCUGUGGAAGAGAGCAUUGAUGACAUAUAUCCAAGUAAGAAGGAUUCUGAUUCAGGUGUUGGCAGUGAUAACGGAGAUAAGCGUUUGUCAGCUACAGAGCCCUCUGAUGAAGAUACUGUCAGCCUUAAUGUACCAAUGUCAAACAUAAUGGAAGAAGAUCAGAUUAUAAAGGAAGAUACGGGUCACCACAUCAACCUAAUCCAAGUAGAAUUUCAUCAGGGACCUUCUCUUAUGAUUCACAAUAAGUCAAGAGAAGCAGGAAACCAGUUUGCUGAAGGAUCACAUCCCCUCACGACUGAAUUUAUGAGCUACAUCAAGGGCAGAGAGGCAGAAUGUGAUGAAUUAUUGCGAAUAGAAGAAGACACACAUUGGCAAACAGAAGGAAUAACGAAUACAUCAAAUAAGCAAAGUAUUGAUAUAGCCAUGAUAGAUCAUUUAAAAGAAGCAGUAGAUUUGCUGCAAGAUCCCAACAGAUUAAGCAUGGAUAUUACAGAGAGCAGUGGUGUGAAUCUGUAUCCCAUGGAACCAGCAACAGAUUUAGAAUUACAGGAGUCUACAGUAAAUGGCCAAAUGCAGAUGGAGGAGGCUCCUAUCUAUCAGAAUGAAAAUGCUGAGGAGGAACUAGAAUUUCAGAAGAGGAGAGAAUUGAUUAUAGAGAAAACCAAGACUGAAGCCAAACUAGCAUGUGAGCAGGAUGAGAAGCAACUACUGAGUCAGAAUGAUCUGAUUGUCUGGAAUAUAGGAGGACGCAGUUCUCACAAUGAGAGUAAGGAAAAAACUCCCACACAAUCUCCUACUACAAACAACACCGCUCCUUUUGGCCUGAAGCCACGAUCAGACCCACCCCUCACUCUUCCUCCUGUCUCCUUCAACAAACUUACACAGGCUCAAACAUGGGACAACUAUAGCUACAGUAUCCCAUCUGAAGGGGACAGUGACAAUGUAUUUUUAAGACCACAGAGAAAUUUGGAAUCCAUAGACCCUCAAUUUACAAUUCGGAGGAAAAUGGAACAGAUGAGAGAAGAGAGAGAGCUGGUGGAGCAAUUGCGUGAGAACAUUGAAAUGAGACUAAAAAUUUGUUUGCCUGAAGACUUGGGGUCUGCUCUUAUGGAUGGGGUUGUUCUCUGUCAUUUAGUCAAUCACAUUCGUCCUCGAUCUGUGGGAAGUAUCCAUGUACCCUCACCAGCAGUACCUAAACUUAGUAUGGCCAAAUGCAGGAGAAAUGUGGAAAACUUUCUGGAUGCAUGUAGGAAACUGGGUAUACCAGAGGCUGACCUCUGCUCUCCGUAUGACAUCCUGCAGUCGGAUAUUCGUCACAUGCGAAAGACUGUUGACACCCUGCUGGCCCUCGGGGAGAAAACCCCACAAUCAACUUCUACCUUUCGCUCCUGGGAUCUGAUAGGCUUUUGUCUUUUCCACAUACUUUUUAUAGUCUUGAUGUACAUAACUUAUCACUGGAAUGUGCUAACAUCAUAACCUGUUUGCAUGUGCACACAAACUUUCUGCUUUAUCUCUGACACAUUACAGGAGAAGCUCUGCCUACCACAUCACAUCCUAGAAGAAAAGGGCUUGGUAAAAGUGAGCAUAACAGUUCAAACAUUACUAGAGGUAACCACAAUGAAGCAAGCUUUAUUCACAUGAAACUACUGUUUCUGCUGUAAUCCGCUCCAGCGUGCCAUAAAAGUAUCAAAACACUGCUCAUCUUUUCAAACUGCAUUGACAAAUACCCUUCUGCUCCAAAAGAGUAUUCCUACAGUUCUGAACUGAAAUCAUCUUUCAGACUAUCUAUAUAUGUUGAACUGCAAACUAAUAAUCAUUUUAUAAAACAAACUGGCAUUUCCACUGCUUUCAUAGCUCAGUUUGUACAGUAGCUAUUAAAACAGCCACCUUUCUGCCGCUUACAUAAGUGUGGAGUACAGCUGCCUUGCAGCUAAAUAUGUUCAUCUUAUUAACGCAAGAGCAUCUUAAUUUUUUUUAAUCUGAAUUUUAACCUGUUUUGUUUUUCUGCAGUUGCUUCAGGCCAUUUUAAAAAUAUUCAGCCAUAAAAUAUUUAUAUAAAUAUUAUUUAUUAGUGAGUUGUUAUUCAUCCUUUGGAUGCAAAAUGUAAAUUAGGAAACUGUAUUUUAUUACUGCUUUUUUGUGGUUAAACACUUUAUUUUAAUAUAAAUAUUUAGUUAUUUUUUAUUCUACUUGGUGUGCAGUAAUUCUAGAUCUCCAUAAUUGUAUUUUCUAAUAUGUAUGAUAAACGGUAAACAAAAAUAGGUGCUUUCAUGAAAAGAACAGUUAGCUGGGACGGCAUUCUUUAUUUUGGGGUUUGUGGAAGAUGAGUGAUGUUGGUCUGCAUUCCAGUUAGUUUCCAACAUUCCAGCAGCACUUCCCUCUGCCCCCCAGUAGAUGAAGUUGGUUGAGCUGAAGAGAAGCACACCUUUUUAUCUGUAUAUAGCUGUUAUUAAAAAAAAAAAAAAGGAAAGAUUAAACUUGAACACACAAAUGUGAACAAAUAUUUUUGAUUGAUACUUAUUUUACUAUGCACAAGACAUUAAACUUUUAUUACAGCAAAAUAACUGAUGUGCAUUAGCGUCACGUGUCUUGAGAUAUAAUUUUGCACUGUAACUUGGGUAAUCUUAAAAGGAUACAGCACUACGGAACAAAUAAAAAAAUAGCACAAGAAAGGUGAAAAUACAAAGUUUUCUAGAUAGUCAAAUAUACGUUUGGGGUUUUUUUUUAAAAGAGAAGAGAUAAUUUCAUUGCAGUUGUUUUAGGUAGUUGUAACAGCCUAACCCUUCAAAUACGUACUGCAGGUUGCAGGGCUUACUGCUGUGAGUGCUCUCCUUGUAGUUAAUGUACUGCCGUGGGAUUACUACGCACACUGCCCUAGCGAGUGUUUGCAGGAUCAGACCCCUUGUCCCAAUUCAGCAGUAGGAAAUAAAGUUUUUUUUCAUUACUUUUAAUUUCAAAAGGAGGUUUUAAAGCUUAAUUUAUUGUUCAGUCAUUGUCAGACAGAUAUUUUAGGUAGAAAAGGUCUAGCACAGUGAUUUUCACAACCUCUUGAACAUCCUUUUUUUUUGGGGGGGGGGGCGGGGGGGGGAUGGAAAUCUCGUGAUGUAAGUAAUUUAGGCAAACAAGACAGGGAAGUUGCAUGUGGUAGAAAGGAUGGCCGUUAGGGGUCCCUGUUACAUUUAAGGAAGGAGAGUUUGAAAUUCAUUACAGCAAAAGUGAGGCAAUGUAGAGGGCAAAUUAAAGAGUGAAAGAGGCUAUGGAGAGAGAAAUCACCAUCUGUUUGAAAGAAUGUGUACACUUGUCACAAUAUUGCAUAUUCUAGGCAGAGUUACAUGCCUGUUCACACAGAGAGACACUGCAUUUAAAAAACCACGAGUAUUCCAAGGAAUUAUAUAUUUAAUCCUGAAUAUAUACUGUUUUGAAUGCAGACCUUGUGUUUUCGACAUCACAGAUGAUGGUACACAUCGACAACCAUCUGUUUGGGGGAAAAUGUGAACUCAAGGACAGUAUAAUGGCACAUACAAUAUGCAUGGAAUAUUCAGUUAUUUCAACCAAAGCAAAAGCUUUUGUUCUGUAGAGGGAACAUUGACUUACAUUGCAAUUUUGACUGGCAGCUAGCAUAUGGUUUCCUAUAAAAUAUAUUGUGCACUUUAACACUAAAUUAAAAUGUAUUUUAAUAUUUUACAGAGCUGCACAAAUACCUGUUUUGUCAAAUAGCAUGAACAAUAUAAAGAAAAUAGGUUUUCAACUCAGAGUAUAUCAAACUUUAAAAGCAUUCAGAAAUUGACUAUAUAAAUAGGAAUAUUGAUUGCUGCAUCGAGGGGUAAAAUGCAGGUUCCUGAGUAUUUUUUUUACGAUGUAUAUAUGGCAACAUGAAGUUUUGUAAUUAUUAUUUUGACAAAUCCUGGUUUUUUCAUAAUUAAAAUUUGUUUUCCUCCUAAUAGUGACUUUCCAUAUUUGCUUAAAGUUGGCUGUAAAUAGCGCUAAAUAUUUUGUAAUCUGGCUUUUUUUAUGUAGUCUUAACCUGUAUGGCUAAAAAGAAAAUCUUCAUGAAUCUUUGUACACUUUAUAUGUGCAAUAAAAAUGCAUGGCCUCCUGACAAUACCAUAAACAGUGAACGUUGUGUGUAUAUAGUGCAAACUUUACUGUGGCUGCAAUUAAAUCAUUUUAUUUGUAUUCAU